Long non-coding RNA from Vespa crabro (European hornet), 2233 nucleotides. RefSeq lists it as uncharacterized. NCBI's taxonomy places the organism in Eukaryota, Metazoa, Arthropoda, Insecta, Hymenoptera, Vespidae. The record is from RefSeq and is a predicted model, not a curated record. The transcript has 2 exons.
UAAGAAUAAUUAGUUGAUUUUUACGUUUCAAAUAGGCGACGAGGACAAAAAUAAUAAAUUCCUGUAAUAUUCCUAAUGCAUUACGACACCAUUUCGAAUUUUUUUGUUUUUUGAGAAGGAGAAAUAAAAAUAUAGUUUUAUUAUAGAUAAAUAAAUAGAUAGAUAGAAAAAGAGAAAGAUAACACAGUAAUGCUAGUAAAUUAAAAAGUAAAUGAUAACACAGUACGUUUCUCAUUAUUUAAUUCACAGCAUACUCGCGGACAAUUGGUCGGUGCAUAUAAUUGAGAGAGAGAGAGAGAGAGAGAGAGAGAGAGAGAGAGAGAGAGAGAGAGAGAGAGAGAGAGAGAGAGAGAGAAUCGAAAUUUGUUUGGGACGGGUGAAGUCCCGAAAUCCUUUUUAGAGAGAGAGAGAGAGAGAGAGAGAGAGAGAGAGAGAGAGAGAGCAAAAAAGAUGAAAGAAAAGAGUGGGAGCGAGAGAGAGAGAGAGAGAGAGAGAGAGAGAGAGAAGGCGAGAAAGAAAUAGUAUGUACGUGAGAUAGAAAAAUGAGAAGGAUGAGAGAGAGAGAGAGAAAGGGAAUCGUAUGCAUGCGCGAGCGAAUGAGAAACGAGCAAAAGCAAUGUGAGAAAAAGAAAAGAAAAAAAAAUAACAAAAAACAAAACAAAAAUAGUGUUUAACGAUGUGUCGAUUCUUUGUAAUCGAACGCAUUAAAUAUAUAUAUAUACAAUAUAUAUAUAUAUACACAUUUAAAAAGCACAAAAAUUUGAAGCUGCAUAUUCGACGCCCUCAAGAGGGCAAAAGAGGAGCCCUUAGGAUCAACGGGCCUUUUUAACUACCUGUAACCCGAUGAUGUCUUUGUUGUACGCCUCUGAUGAGACAACGUCAUCGGCAUGGCGAUAUUGUGGCCUUCUUCGAUGCUCUGUGGUCACACGUUUAUUUUACAAAAUAUUAGAAAUAAAGAAAAAGGAAAAAACAAAAAAGACAAGCAGACAAAGGAAAAGAGAAAGAAAAAACAAGAUUCGUUUUGUAUUACGGGAACGUGAUUGAACAGGGUUGGAUGUAAUUCAAGGAGCAACCAUUCGUUUGCAAUAAUUGUGACGAUGUGAACAAAAAAAAAGGAAGGAAAUUAAAUAAGAGAAGAAACGAAAAAAGCGGUACUUUUGUUCAAAUCUCCGUGCGUUUAGAGAUAACUUUCACUGAGAAACAUUUUACUUGAAAGUUAAAUAACGUAUCAUUGAAAAUAAUUUCUUAAUUUAUUUUUUACUUUUUUGAUUUUUAAUUUUUAUAUUUAUUUAUUUUAACCAUUCAAAGUUUUUUUUGUAUGUUUGUAGGAUAUAUAUAUAUAUACAUACAGUGAUAAUACGCUUUGUCGCUAUUAUUUUGAUAAUAAAUAAAAGAGGAAGAUCAAUUUUUAUUACUUUCGCAUUAUCGUAAUUUAACAUCAGCGUUUGGUAGCGUUUCUUUCCAAUAAUAUUCUAUAAUAAGUCAAACAUUUUGAAAAGAAUUUGUGCAAAAGAAAGUAAAAAAAAUAUAAUAACGCUUUUGAUAGAUGUUUUGUUGUCCAUUGAAUUCUCGCGCGCUAUUUAAAAGGGGAAAAAACAACGACAUGCGUUACAGCAUUGUUCCUAUGCGCGCGCGUUAUUCUAGAUAUUUAAAUACAUAAUAUACUACCAUUCAUUCGUAUAUAAUUUAUCGUUACCGUUUGCACUUAUAUAUAUAUUUAUAUAUAUAUAUAUAUAUAUAUAUAUAUAUAUAUAUAUAUACACGUAUACGUAAUAAACGUAACACCAUUUAUUCAUGUAUAUUAAAAGUCAUCUUUAUAUAACACAUAUAUAUAUAUAUAAUUUCUAUCAAUUUUAGAGGUACUUCAUGAGGAUUUAAACGAAAGUAAUUUUGUGUAGUAAUAAUAUAACGUAAAGUUCCAAUAAAUUAAAAAAAAAGAAAAGUAAUAAAUUAUUUUUUGCAAGAUCAUUUCGCGGAUAGAUCAUUUUAACGAUCGAUCGAUCAAUUAUUAGCUUUUAAUGAGUUGGCCGAAUUUAUUUGCGUUUUUUAUAUACAUAUUAGUUUACUUUUAAUAAUUGCGAUAUAAAAAAAAGAGAGAGUGUGUGAGAGCUAUUUCCAGUUAUUUAUCUGAAUGAUUUAUGCGAUAAUCGUUUUGAGAAUAAACAUAAUAUGCGAUAUGCGAUUUCAAACGUCUGUUAAUAAAACUUUGAGAAAGUAAGAUUAUAUCAAUCAA